RNAcentral lists this ribosomal RNA (388 nucleotides) under Gephyrocapsa sp. RNAcentral's name for it is "partial small subunit ribosomal RNA". It matches the Rfam family "Eukaryotic small subunit ribosomal RNA", at positions 582 to 975 of the family's 1831-position model. Lineage: Eukaryota; Haptophyta; Isochrysidales; Noelaerhabdaceae. The record is from RNAcentral.
AUUCCAGCUCCAAUAGCGUAUAUUAAAGUUGUUGCAGUUAAAACGCUCGUAGUCGGAUUUCGGGGCGGGCCGACCGGUCUGCCGAUGGGUAUGCACUGGCCGGCGCGUCCUUCCACCAGGAGACCACGCCUCCUCUUAACUGAGCGGGCGCGGGAGACGGGUCUUUUACUUUGAAAAAAUCAGAGUGUUUCAAGCAGGCAGUCGCUCUUGCAUGGAUUAGCAUGGGAUAAUGAAAUAGGACUCUGGUGCUAUUUUGUUGGUUUCGAACACCGGAGUAAUGAUUAACAGGGACAGUCAGGGGCACUCGUAUUCCGCCGAGAGAGGUGAAAUUCUCAGACCAGCGGAAGACGAACCACUGCGAAAGCAUUUGCCAGGGAUGUUUUCAUCA